AGAGUUUGAUCCUGGCUCAGGAUGAACGCUAGCUACAGGCUUAACACAUGCAAGUCGAGGGGCAUCAGGAAGAAAGCUUGCUUUCUUUGCUGGCGACCGGCGCACGGGUGAGUAACACGUAUCCAACCUGCCCUUUACUCGGGGAUAGCCUUUCGAAAGAAAGAUUAAUACCCGAUAGCAUAAUGAUUCCGCAUGGUUUCAUUAUUAAAGGAUUCCGGUAAAGGAUGGGGAUGCGUUCCAUUAGGUUGUUGGUGAGGUAACGGCUCACCAAGCCUUCGAUGGAUAGGGGUUCUGAGAGGAAGGUCCCCCACAUUGGAACUGAGACACGGUCCAAACUCCUACGGGAGGCAGCAGUGAGGAAUAUUGGUCAAUGGGCGCUAGCCUGAACCAGCCAAGUAGCGUGAAGGAUGAAGGCUCUAUGGGUCGUAAACUUCUUUUAUAUAAGAAUAAAGUGCAGUAUGUAUACUGUUUUGUAUGUAUUAUAUGAAUAAGGAUCGGCUAACUCCGUGCCAGCAGCCGCGGUAAUACGGAGGAUCCGAGCGUUAUCCGGAUUUAUUGGGUUUAAAGGGAGCGUAGGUGGACUGGUAAGUCAGUUGUGAAAGUUUGCGGCUCAACCGUAAAAUUGCAGUUGAUACUGUCAGUCUUGAGUACAGUAGAGGUGGGCGGAAUUCGUGGUGUAGCGGUGAAAUGCUUAGAUAUCACGAAGAACUCCGAUUGCGAAGGCAGCUCACUGGACUGCAACUGACACUGAUGCUCGAAAGUGUGGGUAUCAAACAGGAUUAGAUACCCUGGUAGUCCACACAGUAAACGAUGAAUACUCGCUGUUUGCGAUAUACAGUAAGCGGCCAAGCGAAAGCAUUAAGUAUUCCACCUGGGGAGUACGCCGGCAACGGUGAAACUCAAAGGAAUUGACGGGGGCCCGCACAAGCGGAGGAACAUGUGGUUUAAUUCGAUGAUACGCGAGGAACCUUACCCGGGCUUAAAUUGCAGUGGAAUGAUGUGGAAACAUGUCAGUGAGCA
Molecule: ribosomal RNA, 1020 nt
Filed under: Bacteroides fragilis str. S13 L11
Lineage: Bacteria; Pseudomonadati; Bacteroidota; Bacteroidia; Bacteroidales; Bacteroidaceae
Description: bacterial SSU rRNA
Rfam family: Bacterial small subunit ribosomal RNA
Source: RNAcentral